This 2027-nucleotide long non-coding RNA is filed under the name Physcomitrium patens. RNAcentral's name for it is "long non-coding RNA (PPAT_LNC013944)". The record is from RNAcentral. Lineage: Eukaryota; Viridiplantae; Streptophyta; Bryopsida; Funariales; Funariaceae.
UUCUUCUUUUCUGGUAACAGAGUUCUUUGUUAUUCAUGCAAUAACAAAGAAAUCUUGCUAAUUGAGCAUGUGAUGAGAUAAAUGUGAUGAGACAAAUGUAAUAAUUAUUCAUAAGUUAGACGUUCAAAAAAAUUGCAUUCUGUUCGGUGUUUAUAUAGAAUGUUUACAAUCUUACAAGCUGUUCCAUAUUAGUGAAAUUCUCUAUAUGUCUAAUAUUCGCCACAGUGCAAUAUAUCAUUUUUGAUUAAGUAAUAGAAUAGAUCAAUACAGCAUGACAGCAGAGCAUUGACAAGUGACAUUAGAAUAUCUACCAUUUGUAUGCAAGGCUGCCUAGUUUCACCGUCAGCUGCACAUGGAUGUGAACUUUGUUUACUGCUUUAUAUUGAUGUCGACUACUACCCGAAUGCAGCUUGCAUCAUGUAAUCCCCAAUGCAGUAUCUUCAGUCCUUUGGAGUGAACAUCUCACACAAGGAAUCUCUACGACAUGUUUCCCACGUUGGCACCAUCAUGAUGACUCCCGAAUAGAGAUAGAUCGACGUAAUCCAGAAAUUUGUCCCGAGAUAGGUAUCUUCAGAGUCGUAGGCUCCUGUGAUGUGUGUUCAAAACGACUGUGAACUAUCUUGAAUUCCACACAGAGGCCUACGACUCUAAGGAUGCCUACCACGACACAUGUAAUCACUGAAGCAGUGAGGUGUGUUCAUGACUGCCAGUGUUCAAAUACUGUCACACCAACCAAACACAUCAGCAGGCCCGAAAGACAAGGAACUCUCAACCGUUCACACUCGCUGCACGAUGGACGCUACGACUCAAAAUAAUAUCACCACAGAUAGCAGGACACACUUAACCAAGGUCCGACAACACGUCUUUUGAGAAAGAUAUACAUAACAAAGUACCUUGGGAAAAUCACUCAGUCCAGCUCGUGGACAUUGAUAACAAAGGGAAUCGCGACAGAAAGGAAUGGCGUGAAGAGAGAGAGAGAGAGAGAGAGAGAGAGAGAGAUCGAAUCCAGUGAGAAUCGUGUUGGAACUAAUCGCUUCGCACAAUUUCUACUAAGUGUACAAGUGAAAAUGCAUAAAGAGACAAUGAAGCGAGUUGCAAUUAGGAACCAGCAAUAUCUCAGGAGCCUUCAAUAGAAGUUACUGCAGGAGAAACUGGAAUUCUUAAAAGGUACAUUUCACAGCAGGAAUUGAUGCGCAGUAACGAAGGUAAAGAUAUGCAUAGUAGUGUUCCCUGCCUAAACAGAAGGAUUCAGAAAGGAGCACCUCGCAUAGCGCCCCAGAGAACGUGGUCACAUGUCACAAAAAAACCCUCUUGCAAAACGUGACCCCCCACUACCAACUAAUUCAACAACAGACAGAUCUAUAUACAUAAACAUCCACACACAUGACACAAACAGCGAUUGUCACGUCAGGCUAGGAUGACAUUACUUUGCACCACGUCAACGUCACAUCCAAACAGGUCACACAACAAAUUAGUGAGAUCCCACAGCAGCCAAGCCGCAGAUGCAACAGGUACAGUGAUCGAAUGAGGUGCACCGACACUGCAAAUGAGAGAACUUCAGACAUCAGCACAUCGUUGAUAAAGCCACGGCUGUGUAAAAUACACUGCUAACUAUGCAACGACGGCGAAAAUAGUAGCCUGCCGAACACAGUAAGCUGCGGUCGCAACAUGUGGAUUGCCGUGAGGCGCGGCAUAAAGAGGAAACCAAAAAAGAAAAAUAGUGGACGUCCACAAAGCGCGCAUCGGAAACUAGGUGGCACAGGUACAUACUAAUAAUAGAAAGGUGACAUGGUGAUAGUUUCUUCAGAAUCCUCUACGCAGGAGAGUGAAAGACGACGACGACGACGACUGCGACAAAACGCUUGAGCGAGAGGGAAGGGGCCUGUCUCGGCCAUGGCGGGCCUGCCAACUGAAUUUGGGUUCUACUGUGUAGACAGAGCCAUCUUAUAUCGUUUCAUAUUCUUUGGGCAUCAGCAGCGGGGCCCCAAUUGGCUGUCAAGAUUUGACGUCCUUGUCUGUUGACGUAU